UUUGGUUUUUUUUAUCCGUAAUGUGAGGUAUUUGCCCAUAAGCCUGAUCCAAUAGAAGCCCUAAAAUAUGUGGGCUCCACGUUCUGUCCAGUUUAUUUUGGUCGUAAAAGUUUUGUGUUUGAUCUGAUUUGGGUUUUCCACAUUUGGUUCCAUAAUUAAGUCAAAAUCUGCGUUUUAUGCUUGAAUGAAUUAGGGCUUCAUCAUUAUCUUUCUUCUUCCUCAUUCAACCUCGCCGUCUACACUUAUCUUAAUCUGCAAACCUAAUGAUUGCAAACGUAAAGGUUGACAUCACUGUCUCCGUACCCAACAUCCAUUCCUCUCUUUACCACCUCUUCUGGUUCCUGAUGUCGUCCCUGAAUCCACCGCUCUGUUUCGGCCGGCGAGACCACAAAACGAUCCAUGGAGGAUUCCCCUGACAUAUCAUGGGGCUGCAAUAUAGAUUCAGUCGAAAACGCCACUUCUCUUCAGAGAUGGCUAACCAAUUCAGGCUUCCCGCCGAAGAAAAUGGCUGUCGACUCUGUCGACAUCAGAGAGAGGGAGGUGGGAGUCUCGGAAUGAAAUAUCAACGAACAAACACUUGCUUAAGUUAAAUUCAAAGGAAUGUGCUCAACUUACUUCUCAGUGCGCUCAUCUACAAGACCGAACGAUGGCUCUUGCCAAGGAGCUGGCAUCGCUUAACUUGGUUUCCGACAUAAGCUUGGAGGAAGUUGAUGUGCUGAAGCUUGCCUUUUUUGAGAAUAACGCAAAAGACAAAAGAUACAAUAGACACACCAGGUUUGUUUCCUGUGAUAUUGUGGUUUCGGCCUAUAUUGGUUUGUGGUUUCGGCCUAUAUUGGUUUGUGGUUUCCUCAAGUCUCUGUUCUGUUCGUAUGGUCUCAGCCCGUGCUUAUUCAGGUUCUUUGGGAACUUGCGUUCGAUUGUCGUCUGUGUGGAGCUGGUUUUUUGGUUCUGAUAAGAAACACUUUCCCUCUUUUUAAUUAGUGUGCCUCAGUGUUGAUUUCUUUCUUUUGGUGAUUCAAAAGGUUGUCCGGUAGUGUGGAAAGGUUGUUUGUGUUUUUAUGGUCUGUAAUAAUCGUACUUCAAAUUACGUUAAUGCAAUUCAAAGAUGAACAAAAAAAAACAAAAUAGACACACCUGUCAAGUCCUUGGUUACUCGAAACAUGUAGGCACAUAGCUUAUGUUUUGUUACAGCUUCCCUUCUCUCAUUUUAUCAUGUAGGUACUAUUGAUGAGGUCCCCACGACUACUACUGUGACCAACCUCCAGAAAUUCAUGCUUCUGAAGUUCAACCAUCUUCAAGCUCUUGCAAACUUUCUUUGAACUCCCCGAUAUAGUUGGCCAAAUCCGUUCAAGACUCUUAACAUAAACAACUCUGUUCAAGGCUCUGACAUAAACAACUCUGCUGCAACAACCCGAUUAUGCAUGAAAGUUGGUGUCUCAAUCAUGCUGCCGCGCAACCUAAACCAAGAAGAAGGCUUGAGAAAGAGUUAUCGAAGCAGAAGUGUGUGUGCUGAUACCAAGAAACAAAAUAUCACCGACCUAAACCAAACAUCUAUUCAUUCUAAGAAGCCGCCAGUUUCCAGUACAUAUAUCAUGGGGAUUUUAACAUUACCAGGGUCACGUGACUAACGACAUUGCCAACAUCGUUUACAGAAAAGCCUUCAAUGGCCUCCCACAAUCACUGGUUUAGAAGAAGACUAUGAGAGUUUCGCCAACAUGCUUUCCUCUGUUUCUUUCUCUGUUCUGUCUGUAUCUGUCCAAAGAAUCAUCAAAUGGGAUCCACUGAACUACAAGACACAGAUUUGUUUAGCUCUUUUUCUGAGAACUUACACUCAACGUUCUUCACUCCAACCACAAGCUCGCUCUGAUCUGACUCGGACACGGAUUCACCAAAGCCAUAAAACGAGGAUGAAAAUCGUAGAGUUGACUUGGCAGAUGAGUAACUAUAUGAGCAUCAGAAGUCUUUUGGUGGAGACAACCUAUUAUGAUUCCUUUUCAAUCAAAAGAAGCUUUAAUCGAUGAGCAGAUCCGAUAUGUUCAGGCAAACUUCCAAAACUAGAAGGAGAAAGACGAGCAGCGAAAUGAUGAUGCAUUUAAACAUAAAGCAAGGAGCUACCACAACCAACAGAGAGACCAAAGUCCGCUGUGAAGGUGGAGUUCGUUGACGGGACAUUCGAGAACCAUGGUACUGCUGGGGAGUCACCCAAGAAAGUAGUUUCAUAUUAAUUUAGCAUUGUUACUUCUUCUUUUUUUAAGUCACGCAAGAACUCCAUUAUAAGUUUUUGUUUUGUUUUCUAUUAACGAGAUGUGGUUUUAAAGAAGGCUACAUAUUAUAUAUAAUGGACAACAGAUAAAAGAAAGAGAGAAA
Long non-coding RNA from Brassica napus (rape), 2367 nucleotides. RefSeq lists it as uncharacterized. NCBI's taxonomy places the organism in Eukaryota, Viridiplantae, Streptophyta, Magnoliopsida, Brassicales, Brassicaceae. The transcript has 7 exons. The record is from RefSeq and is a predicted model, not a curated record.